GCCCCGGUAAACGGCGGCCGUAACUAUAACGGUCCUAAGGUAGCGAAAUUCCUUGUCGGGUAAGUUCCGACCUGCACGAAUGGCGUAAUGAUGGCCAGGCUGUCUCCACCCGAGACUCAGUGAAAUUGAACUCGCUGUGAAGAUGCAGUGUACCCGCGGCAAGACGGAAAGACCCCGUGAACCUUUACUAUAGCUUGACACUGAACAUUGAGCCUUGAUGUGUAGGAUAGGUGGGAGGCUUUGAAGUGUGGACGCCAGUCUGCAUGGAGCCGACCUUGAAAUACCACCCUUUAAUGUUUGAUGUUCUAACGUUGGCCCGUAAUCCGGGUUGCGGACAGUGUCUGGUGGGUAGUUUGACUGGGGCGGUCUCCUCCUAAAGAGUAACGGAGGAGCACGAAGGUUGGCUAAUCCUGGUCGGACAUCAGGAGGUUAGUGCAAUGGCAUAAGCCAGCUUGACUGCGAGCGUGACGGCGCGAGCAGGUGCGAAAGCAGGUCAUAGUGAUCCGGUGGUUCUGAAUGGAAGGGCCAUCGCUCAACGGAUAAAAGGUACUCCGGGGAUAACAGGCUGAUACCGCCCAAGAGUUCAUAUCGACGGCGGUGUUUGGCACCUCGAUGUCGGCUCAUCACAUCCUGGGGCUGAAGUAGGUCCCAAGGGUAUGGCUGUUCGCCAUUUAAAGUGGUACGCGAGCUGGGUUUAGAACGUCGUGAGACAGUUCGGUCCCUAUCUGCCGUGGGCGCUGGAGAACUGAGGGGGGCUGCUCCUAGUACGAGAGGACCGGAGUGGACGCAUCACUGGUGUUCGGGUUGUCAUGCCAAUGGCACUGCCCGGUAGCUAAAUGCGGAAGAGAUAAGUGCUGAAAGCAUCUAAGCACGAAACUUGCCCCGA
RNAcentral lists this ribosomal RNA (886 nucleotides) under Escherichia coli. Its description in RNAcentral is "partial 23S ribosomal RNA". It matches the Rfam family "Bacterial large subunit ribosomal RNA", at positions 1917 to 2802 of the family's 2925-position model. The record is from RNAcentral. Lineage: Bacteria; Pseudomonadati; Pseudomonadota; Gammaproteobacteria; Enterobacterales; Enterobacteriaceae.